This 229-nucleotide long non-coding RNA is filed under the name Gallus gallus (chicken). Lineage: Eukaryota; Metazoa; Chordata; Aves; Galliformes; Phasianidae. The record is from RNAcentral.
AACACGUUGAUCCAGUUGGCGGAAAGUAUUACAGUACAGAACCUCACUGUAACUACAGCUUGAGGACUGUUCAUGAGAAAAGGCAGUUGAAACUGCGUGGACUUUUGAAAGUGCAAGCAUAAGAAGGUAUCUGAAGUUUUGAAAAUCUAAGCAAAGAGUGAGACCCCAAGAAUAUAAGUGAAGUUUCCAUUAAAAUACCAGAUAUUGAACAUCAUACAUAAAUGCUUAG